This 252-nucleotide ribosomal RNA is filed under the name uncultured prokaryote. RNAcentral describes it as "partial 16S ribosomal RNA". It matches the Rfam family "Bacterial small subunit ribosomal RNA", at positions 523 to 774 of the family's 1533-position model. The record is from RNAcentral.
AUACGUAGGGGGCGAGCGUUGUCCGGAAUUAUUGGGCGUAAAGAGCGUGUAGGCGGUUCGGUAAGUCUGCCGUGAAAACCCAGGGCUCAACCCUGGGCGUGCGGUGGAUACUGCCGGGCUAGAGGGUGGUAGAGGCGAGUGGAAUUCCCGGUGUAGCGGUGAAAUGCGCAGAUAUCGGGAGGAACACCAGUAGCGAAGGCGGCUCGCUGGGCCAUACCUGACGCUGAGACGCGAAAGCGUGGGGAGCAAACA